AAAAUUUUAGGCGUAGAUGGCGUGACCGCGCUUUUCCGAAGCGCAGAUGACGUGACUGCAGUCUAAUGGACACAUAUUGCAAACGGCAGAAGGUAAAUACCAUCUAUAUUUUUUUCUACUGUUACUGUUAAAGUGAUAUGCUAAUCGCGAUGACAUAAUCUGUUACUGUUUUGAUAUUAUGUUUUAAUAAAGAUAAGGCUGUGUGUAAUGACGAUGUUGUGGCCAUGAUUUAAAGUGACUAUUUGUGUAUUUAAAUAUUUGUUUAUAUCGCGGAAUGUAAAUAUAUCCACGUAACAUAGUGCUACGAGUUACUGACGUUUUAAUAGAGAAACAUGCAUGAAUGACAGAAUAAAUAGCGGGACAUGUAUGAUGUUAAUACAGAAGGCCGCCGUUUGCUGAUCUUAUUUUUAAUAACAGUAUGAAAUAGUAAAAAUAACUAACGUUAUAUUGUUAUUUUAUUGUAAAAUAAAAUGUCUCACUGUGGAACAUGAAAAACUGGCAUACACUUGUUCAACAGAGAGGACAUGAAACCAUUCUUGGACUCUGAAGAAUACUAUGCAAACCAUGCUUUUGGAUCUACUGUUAAGUUUUUGUAAUAAAGCUGAGGUUUUGGGAUUGAAAAUCUUCUGCCACAUGAUCUUCCGUAAA
Molecule: long non-coding RNA, 648 nt
Organism: Onychostoma macrolepis
Lineage: Eukaryota; Metazoa; Chordata; Actinopteri; Cypriniformes; Cyprinidae
Exons: 2
Source: RefSeq, a predicted model, not a curated record